Molecule: ribosomal RNA, 468 nt
Filed under: uncultured bacterium
Lineage: Bacteria
Description: partial 16S ribosomal RNA
Rfam family: Bacterial small subunit ribosomal RNA
Source: RNAcentral
GACGAACGCUGGCGGCGUGCUUAACACAUGCAAGUCGAACGGAAAGGCCCUGCUUGCAGGGUGCUCGAGUGGCGAACGGGUGAGUAACACGUGGGUGAUCUGCCCCUUACUUUGGGAUAAGCCUGGGAAACUGGGUCUAAUACUGGAUAGGACCAUGCUGUAGGUGGUGUGGUGGAAAGAUUAGUUUCGGUAAGGGAUGAGCUCGCGGCCUAUCCGCUUGUUGGUGGGGUAAUGGCCUACCAAGGCGUCGACGGGUAGCCGGCCUGAGAGGGUGGACGGCCACAUUGGGACUGAGAUACGGCCCAGACUCCUACGGGAGGCAGCAGUGGGGAAUAUUGCACAAUGGGCGCAAGCCUGAUGCAGCGACGCCGCGUGGGGGAUGACGGCCUUCGGGUUGUAAACUCCUUUCAGCCAUGACGAAGCCCUUGUGGUGACGGUAGUGGUAGAAGAAGCACCGGCUAACUACGU